RNAcentral lists this microRNA precursor (206 nucleotides) under Oryza glumipatula. Its description in RNAcentral is "MIR812 microRNA precursor family". It matches the Rfam family "MIR812 microRNA precursor family". The record is from Rfam by way of RNAcentral. Lineage: Eukaryota; Viridiplantae; Streptophyta; Magnoliopsida; Poales; Poaceae.
AAAAAGACAAACCAUGGGUUUCCGUGUCUAAUUUUGAUUGUCCGUCUUAUAUGAAUUUUUUUUAUAAUUCGUAUUUUCAUUGUUAUUAGAUGAUAAAACAUGAUCAAUAUUUUAUGCAUGACUUGUUUUUUUAAUUUUUUUUAUAAUUUUUUCAAAUAAGACGAACGGUUAAACAUUAGACACAAAAACCAAGGUUUGUCUUUUUU